AUUUUGGACAAUGGGGGCAACCCUGAUCCAGCCAUCCCGCGUGUGCGAUGAAGGCCUUCGGGUUGUAAAGCACUUUUGGCAGGGAAGAAAAGCCGUGGGUUAAUACCUCGCGGCGCUGACGGUACCUGCAGAAUAAGCACCGGCUAACUACGUGCCAGCAGCCGCGGUAAUACGUAGGGUGCAAGCGUUAAUCGGAAUUACUGGGCGUAAAGCGUGCGUAGGCGGUUUGGCAAGAAAGAUGUGAAAUCCCAGGGCUUAACCUUGGAACUGCAUUUUUAACUGCCAGGCUAGAGUAUGUCAGAGGGGGGUAGAAUUCCGCGUGUAGCAGUGAAAUGCGUAGAGAUGCGGAGGAAUACCGAUGGCGAAGGCAGCCCUCUGGGAUAAUACUGACGCUCAGGCACGAAAGCGUGGGGAGCAAACAGG
Molecule: ribosomal RNA, 423 nt
Filed under: uncultured bacterium
Lineage: Bacteria
Description: bacterial SSU rRNA
Rfam family: Bacterial small subunit ribosomal RNA
Source: RNAcentral